CGUCUAUAUACGUAUAGCAUAUCAAUAAGCGGAGGAAAAGAAACUAACUAGGAUUCCCUCAGUAACGGCGAGUGAAGCGGGAAGAGCUCAAAUUUGAAAUCUUCAAGGUUCUACCUUGACGAAUUGUAGUUUAAAGAAGUGUUUUCUGUUGGAGUUUUGGUAAAAGUUCUUUGGAAUAGGACAUCAUAGAGGGUGAGAAUCCCGUAUUUGACCAGUUACUUUCCAACUUUGUGAUACACUUUCAAAGAGUCGGAUUGUUUGGGAAUGCAGUCCAAAAUGGGUGGUAAAUUUCAUCUAAAGCUAAAUAUUGGCGAGAGACCGAUAGCGAACAAGUACCGUGAGGGAAAGAUGAAAAGAACUUUGAAAAGAGAGUUAAACAGUACGUGAAAUUGUCAAAAGGGAAGCGUUUGACACCAGUGUUGUUUUCUCGAAAAUCAAUUAAAAAUGGUGGGAUUUUGUGUUGUAUUGACUUUAUCAGCUUUCUGCACUUUUUUCCUAUCUUUUUUAAUGCACUUUUCGUUUAACAAGUCAACAUCAAUUUCUUUUGUUGUAAAAGAGUCAUUGGAAGGUGGCUUUCUUUUCGGAGAAAGUGUUUAUAGCCUUUGACUUCUGCAGUCGGAGAGAUUGAGGUCUGCAGCGUAGAUCCUUCGGGGUUAGAUGCAUUUGUGCUAAGUUAUAGCCUUUCAUAGACAACUUGUUGACUAUGAUCAGUCAUGUAGCUUACUCGCUUAUGUCAUUUUACCUACGCUUAGGAUGUUGACGAUCAGCUGAGCGCG
RNAcentral lists this ribosomal RNA (776 nucleotides) under uncultured Neocallimastigales. RNAcentral describes it as "partial large subunit ribosomal RNA". It matches the Rfam family "Eukaryotic large subunit ribosomal RNA", at positions 26 to 627 of the family's 3401-position model. The record is from RNAcentral. Lineage: Eukaryota; Fungi; Neocallimastigomycota; Neocallimastigomycetes; Neocallimastigales.